GCAGACACAUUCCAGCCAAUCAGCAGCAGACCCUCCCUCCCAGACCUUCCCACCUCCUGGACAGCAUCCAUUUUACAUUUAUUGUGAAGCUGCAUUCUUAGUGAGCUGUCCAGGAGGUGGGAGGGUCAGGGAGGGAGGGUCUGCUGCUGAUUGGCUGGAAUGUGUCUG
RNAcentral lists this microRNA precursor (168 nucleotides) under Pelobates cultripes (western spadefoot toad). The record is from RNAcentral. Lineage: Eukaryota; Metazoa; Chordata; Amphibia; Anura; Pelobatidae.